GAUUCUUCGGAUGAAGAGAUUUGUGACUGAGUGGCGGACGGGUGAGUAACGCGUGGGUAACCUGCCUCAUACAGGGGGAUAACAGUUAGAAAUGACUGCUAAUACCGCAUAAGACCACAGAGCCGCAUGACUCGGUGGGAAAAACUCCGGUGGUAUGAGAUGGACCCGCGUCUGAUUAGGUAGUUGGUGGGGUAACGGCCUACCAAGCCAACGAUCAGUAGCCGACCUGAGAGGGUGACCGGCCACAUUGGGACUGAGACACGGCCCAAACUCCUACGGGAGGCAGCAGUGGGGAAUAUUGCACAAUGGGGGAAACCCUGAUGCAGCGACGCCGCGUGAGCGAAGAAGUAUUUCGGUAUGUAAAGCUCUAUCAGCAGGGAAGAAAAUGACGGUACCUGACUAAGAAGCACCGGCUAAAUACGUGCCAGCAGCCGCGGUAAUACGUAUGGUGCAAGCGUUAUCCGGAUUUACUGGGUGUAAGGGGAGCGUAGACGGCUGUGUAAGUCUGAAGUGAAAGCCCGGGGCUCAACCCCGGGACUGCUUUGGAAACUAUGCAGCUAGAGUGUCGGAGAGGUAAGUGGAAUUCCCAGUGUAGCGGUGAAAUGCGUAGAUAUUGGGAGGAACACCAGUGGCGAAGGCGGCUUACUGGACGAUGACUGAC
RNAcentral lists this ribosomal RNA (661 nucleotides) under uncultured Lachnospiraceae bacterium. Its description in RNAcentral is "bacterial SSU rRNA". It matches the Rfam family "Bacterial small subunit ribosomal RNA", at positions 70 to 744 of the family's 1533-position model. The record is from RNAcentral. Lineage: Bacteria; Bacillati; Bacillota; Clostridia; Lachnospirales; Lachnospiraceae.